GAACACGUGAGAAACCUGCCUUUCAUUCUGGGAUAACACCGGGAAACCGGUGCUAAUACUGAAUAUUGAAACAUAAGUGGCAUCACUGAGUUUUGAAAGAAUUUCGGUGGAGGAUGACUUCGCGGCCUAUCAGCUAGUUGGUGAGGUAAUGGCUCACCAAGGCGACGACGGGUAGCCGGCCUGAGAGGGUGACCGGCCACACUGGAACUGAGAUACGGCCCAGACUCC
This 228-nucleotide ribosomal RNA is filed under the name uncultured bacterium. RNAcentral describes it as "partial 16S ribosomal RNA". It matches the Rfam family "Bacterial small subunit ribosomal RNA", at positions 111 to 339 of the family's 1533-position model. The record is from RNAcentral.